UGGGGAAUAUUGGACAAUGGGCGAAAGCCUGAUCCAGCAAUGCCGCGUGAGUGAUGAAGGCCUUAGGGUUGUAAAGCUCUUUUACCCGGGAAGAUAAUGACUGUACCGGGAGAAUAAGCCCCGGCUAACUCCGUGCCAGCAGCCGCGGUAAUACGGAGGGGGCUAGCGUUGUUCGGAAUUACUGGGCGUAAAGCGCACGUAGGCGGCUUUGUAAGUUAGAGGUGAAAGCCCGGGGCUCAACCCCGGAAUUGCCUUUAAGACUGCAUCGCUUGAACGUCGGAGAGGUGAGUGGAAUUCCGAGUGUAGAGGUGAAAUUCGUAGAUAUUCGGAAGAACACCAGUGGCGAAGGCGGCUCACUGGACGACUGUUGACGCUGAGGUGCGAAAGCGUGGGGAGCAAACAGG
This 404-nucleotide ribosomal RNA is filed under the name uncultured bacterium. RNAcentral's name for it is "bacterial SSU rRNA". It matches the Rfam family "Bacterial small subunit ribosomal RNA", at positions 355 to 776 of the family's 1533-position model. The record is from RNAcentral.